Molecule: long non-coding RNA, 301 nt
Filed under: Nicotiana benthamiana
Lineage: Eukaryota; Viridiplantae; Streptophyta; Magnoliopsida; Solanales; Solanaceae
Description: long non-coding RNA (NBEN_LNC022870)
Source: RNAcentral
GGAAGCUUUCGGCGGACACAAGCCCUCGGGACUUGACACUUGGACACCGGGAAGCUUGCCCCUUGAGACUGGGUCCUUCGUUUGGAACUGCCCUUUUCCUUUCCAAAGUGGAAUUCCUCCUUGCUUUCCCCUUUGACCUGUGCCAAACUCCACUUUUGCUGUUGCCAGGUGGAAUGAUUCAUUCAACCUCGGUAUCGGCAACCAAGACACCCUUCUCUGUCGAAUGAAUCUUCAAAUCAUCAUCUUCAAACCACGACUCCGAUCACGGUUUCCAGUUGACUUUAUCUCAGGUGACAGGGGC